Molecule: ribosomal RNA, 376 nt
Filed under: uncultured organism
Description: partial 16S ribosomal RNA
Rfam family: Bacterial small subunit ribosomal RNA
Source: RNAcentral
GUACGGUGGCAAGCGUUGUCCGGAAUUAUUGGGCGUAAAGCGCGCGCAGGCGGUUCGUUUAAGUCUGAUGUGAAAGCCCACGGGCUCAACCGUGGAGGGUCAUUGGAAACUGGAGAACUUGAGUACAGAAGAGGAAAGCGGAAUUCCACGUGUAGCGGUGAAAUGCGUAGAGAUGUGGAGGAACACCAGUGGCGAAGGCGGCUUUCUGGUCUGUAACUGACGCUGAGGCGCGAAAGCGUGGGGAGCAAACAGGAUUAGAUACCCUGGUAGUCCACGCCGUAAACGAUGAGUGCUAAGUGUUAGGGGGGUUUCCGCCCCUUAGUGCUGCAGCUAACGCAUUAAGCACUCCGCCUGGGGAGUACGGCCGCAAAGGCUG